Non-coding RNA from Equus caballus (horse), 3091 nucleotides. NCBI's taxonomy places the organism in Eukaryota, Metazoa, Chordata, Mammalia, Perissodactyla, Equidae. The record is from RefSeq and is a predicted model, not a curated record.
CUCAAUGUCUCUUUCUAUCUCUGUCUCUGACUUUUUCUCCCUCUGCCUCCCUCUUUCUUCCCCUCUCCUUCUCUUUCUCUUUUCUUUUCAAAACUCUUUUCAGGACUUGCUCCAAGAUUCAGAAAACAAUGACCUUCACCCAUGCAUGCCCCUGCCUCCCAUCUCAAGGGUCCUCACCCCACCCUGGUCCUCUUCUGUCAAAUAGCCCAUAAAUUCCUUCCCAGGAAGGGGAGAGGAACUCCAGGCAUUGUCCUUUGAAUAUGUGCAUUUUUAAAAAGGUUUCCGAGAUGGCCAAGUUCACCCCAAAGAAAGUCCUCUUGUGUGGUGGCCCUCAGGCACCCCGCUGGCUGAAUGUGACAGACAGAGCAUGGGUAUAGGGGAACACGGCUAGACUGGGACUGAGAAGACAGGAUCCUAGUUCUGCCCCUCCUGCUCAUUGUCUGCCUGGGGCCAGUCACAGCUCUUCUCAGGACCCCAAGACAAUGGGGAAGCUGGCCUUGGUGGUCUGGAGCCCGGAUCAGCUCUGGAAUUGGGAGUUAUGAAUUGUGGGUUUCUGCCCAUGUCACCCUCAUUCUCCUCCUCCCAGACGUGCUUGCUGUCAUUGCCUAGGGGGUCUCUGCUGGUCCACCCAGGCCUUGCUCCAGGCUGCAGAAUUCCUUGCAUUCUCCAGAAAUUCUCUGCUAAACCCAUCCACCUUGUUGCCUCAUCCUAACCACCUCUACAGAAUUUGCAUAUUAAAAGAAGUUUCUGAGAGGAGCCAUCUCUUUUCCCAGGAAUCACUCUUUAAUGAUGGAAGAGCAGCAGUGUGGCAGGCCAGGAGCUCCCGUGAUGUCCUGUGAGCCAUGCCACCUCACUCCCUUUCCCCUGACACCUCAGCAUAUGGAGAUUACAUUACUGGUGUUUCUGCUUGGAUGAUUUUGGCAUCUGCCAAAUAAAUUUGGGGCCUUAAGGAAAUUUUUAGCAAUGUCUCCCUACCCAGAAAUAUUUGUUCCCUUCGGUGGGAGGAAACCACACCUGCCAUUCAGGUCUGCUUGGGCAGUAGGACCCCUACUCUCUCUUUCGCUCUCUCUUUUUCGGGUCUGCCUUUUCUCAUCAGAUGGGGGAAGGGACGGUGCUUCUCCCUUCGACUGGAGUUUCCUGAGGGCAGAGGCUCUAUCUCCUCCCACCUCUGGGUCCUGUCCUACACCUGCUCAGGGAGCCUUCUCUGCCCCUAGCAGAAAUUCCAGACCAGAGAUAGAUUGGGUGUCUCCUGGCCAGGCUGCCCCUCGCAGGGUUUCAGUCUCCUGCUCAAGCUGCUGCACCACUAGCCAGGCCACAGACUUACCUGACCUCUGCCGCCUCCAAGAGCUGAAGGCCGAAGGCCACCACCGUCCACUUCAGGACGCCGAUUCCCAACUGGCCGCAGAGGAAAAGCUGCUCCAAGUUGUGUGGUCACCGUGGAGUGAAGGCCUGGGCACUCCCUCUUCCUUUAUAUCCCGGGAUCUGGUCCAGUCCCUGCCUCCCUGCCCUGGGCAAACACGACCUCAAUCCCGGGUGUACCCUGUGCUCCGUGUAUCAGUUGUUUCUGUGUGUUUUCCAUCUCGAUGGUGGCCGCAAAGGACUUUUCAUCUUAUUGACUUUUUAAUACAAGCAGUGGAGGCCAGGAGGUGUGCGCGAUAAGAGAGAACAAAGUUGCCGUGAGAUGGAGCAGUGAAGACCACUUCUUGUCCAGGACCCAGAGGUUUGACAGGGGCAUUUUGGGGUGAGGGCCAUGGGAUCUAUAGGCAGGUGUCUCGUCCUCGGUACUAUUGACAUUUUGGAACAAAUAAUUCUUUGUUGGGGGGCUGUCCUGUGCCCGGUAGGAUGUUUAGUGGCACCCCUGGCCUCUACCCACUACAGGCCAGCAGCAGUGCCCCAGCUGUGACAACCAAAAAUGUCUCCAGGUAUUGCCAAUGUCCCCUUGUGGAGCAAAACUGCUGAGCACCACUGGUCCAUGGGUGACGUGCUCGAAGGUCUGGCUCAAGUCCUGGUUCCCAGGACCCCCAAGCCUUUGAGGGGUGCAGUUGGGGGGUCUGGGGAUGAUGCAGUCAGUAGCUAGGAUGAUGGUAAUGAUAAUGGCGGUGGUGAGGGUGGUGCUGAUGGUGGUAUCAUUAGCCCUGAUGCAGGUGGUGCAGCUGGGAUGCCAAUGGCUGAAGUCCAACCUAUUUGGGGCAGCUUCAGAGGCUUUCCUGGUCAAAUGGGGCAUUUGGAGAAAUUCUCAUCAUAAUUCAGCAAGUACUCAGGACACACCCAUAGUGUAAGCCGCACUGGCUCCUGCUUGUGCCUCUCACACUCAUCUGGAACAACAGGAGCCCUGGGCAGGAGCAUAGGAAGAGGGGACAAGAAUGCCCUUGCUUCUCUUCCUCAUUGUCUCUCUUCUCCUGCCCCAUGGCGACUCUACCCCCAUCUUGAGGUCUCCUAAAACUCCUGUGUCCCCCAUUACCCUUCUCCCAAGCCCCCGUCUACCCUUUGUCCUGCCCCCAAGUCUGAUCCAUCAUGUGCCUCUAUCCCUCGUCUCCGGCAGCCCUGCUUCCCAGCUACAAGCUUCUCAUUGCCUGAAGUGACCCGAGGCUGACCCAGCGCCCGCUAACCUGGCACAGGAGAACCCCUCAUUUUGGGAGCCAGGAUGUGCAGAGUCUGAGGACACCUUAGAAGUCAUCCAGGGCCACCUCCCACCAAGGACAGGAGCCCCAGGAUGCCUGACCCACUGGCUGCUGCCCAGACUAGAAGCUCCUAGAGGCAGAGGCUGCAGCUUCCACGUCCCUGGGCCUGGCCUGGAGCUCAGGAGUGCUGAACCGUAGAUGGAACCCAGGGGAUUGCUCUCAAUGGGGCUUCGUUAUAUCUCCCGCACCCCAUUAUCCCACUGCUCUAAUUUCCACCCCACGCUCCAAAAGGAUCUUCUCAAAAUCCAGGGCCUGGGAUCCUCUCAUAGUGGUGGUCUUCCAGGAAAAAACCAUUUUGUCAUCACUCUCUGGUCUCAUCUCCCUCUAAGCACCACCUGCCUCAAAACUUGUCCAAGUCCCCGUGACUAACUGAAUAAAAUCCAAACUGAUCGCCCUGGCUGUCAGGACAC